RNAcentral lists this unclassified non-coding RNA (257 nucleotides) under uncultured fungus. RNAcentral's name for it is "partial contains 5.8S ribosomal RNA, internal transcribed spacer 2, and large subunit ribosomal RNA". The record is from RNAcentral. Lineage: Eukaryota; Fungi.
AACGCACAUUGCGCCCAUUAGUAUUCUAGUGGGCAUGCCUGUUCGAGCGUCAUUUCAACCCUUAAGCCUAGCUUAGUGUUGGGAGACUGCCUAAUACGCAGCUCCUCAAAACCAGUGGCAGAGUUUUUACGUACUCUGAGCGCAGUAAUUCUAUUCUCGCUUCUGAAAACGUCUAGACGAUAGCCAAAAACCGCAUGCUUCGGCAGCACUUUUUAAUGGUUGACCUCGGAUCAGGUAGGAAUACCCGCUGAACUUAA